AGAUAUCUUCUAUACGUAUAUCAUUGAAUCGUGUAGGAAUUGUGUUGCAUCCUUUCAUGUAUCGAAGAUUGAAAUGCGAAAUUGUCCUAUUCCAACACCAACUGGAUCUACUCCCAGCAAAGUUCUAUCUGUUUGGCGUAUUACGUUUAAAUCUUGAAAUGUUUUAUAUUGGUUGCGGCUCUCUUAUAGUUUACACAGCCAUGCUUCUUCAAAUUUUUGCGUUUCGUUAUAUAUUAUCUCCUAAUAACUCUACUUUUAUCUCUAAUAUUACAUAUCAUAUAA
Long non-coding RNA from Daktulosphaira vitifoliae (grape phylloxera), 282 nucleotides. RefSeq lists it as uncharacterized. The transcript is spliced from 3 exons. The record is from RefSeq and is a predicted model, not a curated record. Lineage: Eukaryota; Metazoa; Arthropoda; Insecta; Hemiptera; Phylloxeridae.